GUGAGGAAUUUUGCGCAAUGGGGGCAACCCUGACGCAGCGACGCCGCGUGGAGGACGAAGUCUUUCGGGAUGUAAACUCCUGUCAGUGGGGACGAUAAUGACGGUACCCACAGAGGAAGCACCGGCUAACUCCGUGCCAGCAGCCGCGGUAAGACGGAGGGUGCAAGCGUUGUUCGGCAUUACUGGGCGUAAAGCGUACGUAGGCGGCAAGUUAAGUUCAAUGUUAAAGCCCACGGCUCAACCGAGGAGUCGCAUUGAAUACUGGCUAGCUAGAGGGUGUUCGAGGAAGACGGAAUUCCCAGUGUAGCGGUGAAAUGCGUAGAUAUUGGGAGGAACAUCGGUAGCGAAAGCGGUCUUCUGGGACACACCUGACGCUGAGGUACGAAAGCGUGGGGAGCAAACGGGAUUAGAAACCCUAGUAGUCC
RNAcentral lists this ribosomal RNA (425 nucleotides) under uncultured bacterium. Its description in RNAcentral is "bacterial SSU rRNA". It matches the Rfam family "Bacterial small subunit ribosomal RNA", at positions 354 to 796 of the family's 1533-position model. The record is from RNAcentral.